This 84-nucleotide transfer RNA is filed under the name Oceanispirochaeta sp. RNAcentral's name for it is "tRNA-Leu". It matches the Rfam family "tRNA". From Rfam's summary of the family: Transfer RNA (tRNA) molecules are approximately 80 nucleotides in length. Their secondary structure includes four short double-helical elements and three loops (D, anti-codon, and T loops). Lineage: Bacteria; Pseudomonadati; Spirochaetota; Spirochaetia; Spirochaetales; Spirochaetaceae. RNAcentral also lists the same sequence under 3 other names. The record is from RNAcentral.
GCCGGUGUGGUGGAAUUGGUAGACACCCGAGACUUAAAAUCUCGUGGGCGCAAGCCCGUACCGGUUCAAGUCCGGUCACCGGCA